Molecule: ribosomal RNA, 484 nt
Filed under: uncultured bacterium
Lineage: Bacteria
Description: partial 16S ribosomal RNA
Rfam family: Bacterial small subunit ribosomal RNA
Source: RNAcentral
AUUGAACGCUGGCGGCAGGCCUAACACAUGCAAGUCGAGCGGAUGAAGGGAGCUUGCUCCUGGAUUCAGCGGCGGACGGGUGAGUAAUGCCUAGGAAUCUGCCUGGUAGUGGGGGAUAGCGUCCGUAAACGGGCGCUAAUACCGCAUACGUCCUGAUGGAGAAAGUGGGGGAUCUUCGGACCUCACGCUAUCAGAUGAGCCUAGGUCGGAUUAGCUAGUUGGUGGGGUAAAGGCCUACCAAGGCGACGAUCCGUAACUGGUCUGAGAGGAUGAUCAGUCACACUGGAACUGAGACACGGUCCAGACUCCUACGGGAGGCAGCAGUGGGGAAUAUUGGGCAAUGGGCGAAAGCCUGAUCCAGCCAUGCCGCGUGUGUGAAGAAGGUCUUCGGAUUGUAAAGCACUUUAAGUUGGGAGGAAGGGCAGUAAGUUAAUACCUUGCUGUUUUGACGUUACCAACAGAAUAAGCACCGGCUAACUUCGUG